Molecule: transfer RNA, 67 nt
Filed under: Marmota monax (woodchuck)
Lineage: Eukaryota; Metazoa; Chordata; Mammalia; Rodentia; Sciuridae
Description: tRNA.Ala
Rfam family: tRNA
About the family: Transfer RNA (tRNA) molecules are approximately 80 nucleotides in length. Their secondary structure includes four short double-helical elements and three loops (D, anti-codon, and T loops).
Source: RNAcentral
GGUUGUGGCUCAGCGGUAGAGCGCUUACCUGGCAUGUACAAGGCCCUGGGUUUGAUCCUCAGCACCA